GACGAACGCUGGCGGCGUGCUUAACACAUGCAAGUCGAACGGAAAGGCCCUGCUUUUGUGGGGUGCUCGAGUGGCGAACGGGUGAGUAACACGUGAGUAACCUGCCCUUGACUUUGGGAUAACUUCAGGAAACUGGGGCUAAUACCGGAUAGGAGCUCCUGCUGCAUGGUGGGGGUUGGAAAGUUUCGGCGGUUGGGGAUGGACUCGCGGCUUAUCAGCUUGUUGGUGGGGUAGUGGCUUACCAAGGCUUUGACGGGUAGCCGGCCUGAGAGGGUGACCGGCCACAUUGGGACUGAGAUACGGCCCAGACUCCUACGGGCGGCAGCAGGGGGGAAUAUUGCACAAUGGGCGGAAGCCUGAUGCAGCAACGCCGCGUGCGGGAUGACGGCCUUCGGGUUGUAAACCGCUUUCGACUGUGACGAAGCGUGAGUGACGGUAAUGGGUAAAGAAGCACCGGCUAACUACGUG
Molecule: ribosomal RNA, 468 nt
Filed under: uncultured bacterium
Lineage: Bacteria
Description: partial 16S ribosomal RNA
Rfam family: Bacterial small subunit ribosomal RNA
Source: RNAcentral